UCAAAAACAUGGUUUUAUGNUUUUAUUAUUUAAGAUCUGGCCUGCUCGAUGCGUAUGUUAAUGGCCGCGGUAUAUUGACCGUGCGAAGGUAGCAUAAUAAUUAGGCUAUUAAUUGUAGUCUUGUAUGAAAGGUUGAACAUGGGAAAUUCUUUCUUAUGUAUAUUGUUGAAUUUAAAUAAUUAGUAAGAAUGCUAAUAUGAGUUAAAGGGACGAGAAGACCCUAUUGAGUUUUAUAUUUAAGUUUUUGGUUAUGUUUGAUUUAUAAUAUGAUGGUUAAUAUUUGGUUGGGGCGACUAUUUUAAUUAAACAUUAUAUUUUAUUUGUAUUAAUUUUUGAUCCAUUAUUAGUGAUUAAUAGAAUAAAUUACCAUAGGGAUAACAGCAUAAUUUAUUUGGAGAGUUCUUAUUGAUAAAUAAGUUUGUGACCUCGAUGUUGGAUUAGGGUUCCUAUUGGGUGUAGGUGCUCAAUAAGGUAGACUGUUCGUCUAUUAAAUUCUUACGUGAUCUGA
This 508-nucleotide ribosomal RNA is filed under the name Scolopendra cingulata. Its description in RNAcentral is "LSU rRNA". It matches the Rfam family "Bacterial large subunit ribosomal RNA", at positions 1807 to 2608 of the family's 2925-position model. The record is from RNAcentral. Lineage: Eukaryota; Metazoa; Arthropoda; Chilopoda; Scolopendromorpha; Scolopendridae.